Molecule: unclassified non-coding RNA, 213 nt
Filed under: Hevea brasiliensis (rubber tree)
Lineage: Eukaryota; Viridiplantae; Streptophyta; Magnoliopsida; Malpighiales; Euphorbiaceae
Source: RNAcentral
UGACUUUGUCAUUGAUGAUUGAUAACAUUGAUUUUGAGUUACAUGCUUGUGGGGUUAGGGUACCUUUCUGCUGAUUAUUAACAUGCCUAAUGUUAAAAAACUCUCUGCAAUCACAUGAGGAUUUAUGGGAUUUUAGGCCUGGUUGGUUGUAAUGGAACUCGGACAGAUAAAUUUGUGUGAUUUAACAAGUGUAUUGAAACUCCAGUAAAAAUA